CACCAUUUAAGGAGUGCAUUUCAUCUCCCACUAUGAUUCUAAGGCCUCCCCAGCCAUGUGGAACUGAAAGGAGCCCCAGGCCUCUCAAAAAGUAUGAAAGAACUGGAAUUCACCAGAUCAUCACAUCCAGACAAUGAGACACCAGGCCCCUCAUUCAUCAUGAUGGCUUCUUUACCCCUAUGGAGUUCCUGUUUUCCCUUAGAUAGUUACAUUUCUUCCCUGCUAUAUAAACCCCUAAUUUUAGUCAAUCCCGAAGACGGAUUUGAGCUUCAGCUCCCAUCUCCUUGGCUGCAGACCUGAUUAAAGCCUUCUUCCGUGGCAGUACUUGUC
RNAcentral lists this long non-coding RNA (330 nucleotides) under Homo sapiens (human). Its description in RNAcentral is "HSALNT0313297". The record is from RNAcentral. Lineage: Eukaryota; Metazoa; Chordata; Mammalia; Primates; Hominidae.